CGCGGCCUAUCAGCUUGUUGGUGAGGUAAUGGCUCACCAAGGCGACGACGGGUAGCCGGCCUGAGAGGGUGACCGGCCACACUGGGACUGAGACACGGCCCAGACUCCUACGGGAGGCAGCAGUGGGGAAUAUUGCACAAUGGGCGAAAGCCUGAUGCAGCGACGCCGCGUGAGGGAUGACGGCCUUCGGGUUGUAAACCUCUUUCAGUAGGGAAGAAGCGAAAGUGACGGUACCUGCAGAAGAAGCACCGGCUAACUACGUGCCAGCAGCCGCGGUAAUACGUAGGGUGCGAGCGUUAUCCGGAAUUAUUGGGCGUAAAGAGCUCGUAGGCGGUUUGUCGCGUCUGUCGUGAAAGUCCGGGGCUUAACCCCGGAUCUGCGGUGGGUACGGGCAGACUAGAGUGCAGUAGGGGAGACUGGAAUUCCUGGUGUAGCGGUGGAAUGCGCAGAUAUCAGGAGGAACACCGAUGGCGAAGGCAGGUCUCUGGGCAGUAACUGACGCUGAGGAGCGAAAGCAUGGGGAGCGAACAGGAUUAGAUACCCUGGUAGUCCAUGCCGUAAACGUUGGGCACUAGGUGUGGGGAACAUUCCACGUUUUCCGCGCCGCAGCUAACGCAUUAAGUGCCCCGCCUGGGGAGUACGG
This 643-nucleotide ribosomal RNA is filed under the name uncultured bacterium. RNAcentral's name for it is "bacterial SSU rRNA". It matches the Rfam family "Bacterial small subunit ribosomal RNA", at positions 232 to 885 of the family's 1533-position model. The record is from RNAcentral.